UUGCUUCCUGGUGGCGAGCGGCGGACGGGUGAGUAAUGCAUAGGAAUCUGCCCGGUAGUGGGGGAUAACCUGGGGAAACCCAGGCUAAUACCGCAUACGUCCUACGGGAGAAAGCAGGGGCUCUUCGGACCUUGCGCUAUCGGAUGAGCCUAUGUCGGAUUAGCUGGUUGGUGAGGUAACGGCUCACCAAGGCGACGAUCCGUAGCUGGUCUGAGAGGAUGAUCAGCCACACUGGGACUGAGACACGGCCCAGACUCCUACGGGAGGCAGCAGUGGGGAAUAUUGGACAAUGGGCGCAAGCCUGAUCCAGCCAUGCCGCGUGUGUGAAGAAGGCUUUCGGGUUGUAAAGCACUUUCAGCGGGGAGGAAAGCCUUGGGGUUAAUACCCCCGAGGAACGACGUUACCCGCAGAAGAAGCACCGGCUAACUCCGUGCCAGCAGCCGCGGUAAUACGGAGGGUGCGAGCGUUAAUCGGAAUUACUGGGCGUAAAGCGCGCGUAGGCGGCUUGAUAAGCCGGUUGUGAAAGCCCCGGGCUCAACCUGGGAACCGCAUCCGGAACUGUCAGGCUAGAGUGCAGGAGAGGAAGGUAGAAUUCCCGGUGUAGCGGUGAAAUGCGUAGAGAUCGGGAGGAAUACCAGUGGCGAAGGCGGCCUUCUGGACUGACACUGACGCUGAGGUGCGAAAGCGUGGGUAGCAAACAGGAUUAGAUACCCUGGUAGUCCACGCCGUAAACGAUGUCGACCAGCCGUUGGGUGCCUCGAGCACUUAGUGGCGCAGUUAACGCGAUAAGUCGACCGC
This 798-nucleotide ribosomal RNA is filed under the name Halomonas sp. AD5. RNAcentral describes it as "bacterial SSU rRNA". It matches the Rfam family "Bacterial small subunit ribosomal RNA", at positions 78 to 872 of the family's 1533-position model. The record is from RNAcentral. Lineage: Bacteria; Pseudomonadati; Pseudomonadota; Gammaproteobacteria; Oceanospirillales; Halomonadaceae.